GGAACCACUACGUGUGGUGAUUGUAAUAACGUAAGGGAAAAAAAUGAUAUAACCUUACUAUUAGUGUUGUCCAAAGCUGUGAGAUGUAUUGGGAAUACAUCGUUAAUGGCUGUUAAACUAUCAAACUCCGGAAACACCCUAAAGCUUAUGGUACCAAGCUUAAUACGAAAGUCUAUAAGUGGCCAGAAUAAUUCCCUGGGUAAGGUAACAAGUCAUAAGAUGAAGGAAACUGAAAUGGGUUAUCGCGGAUCUAAGUCAUCUCUAUUUAUAUAUAAUAAUAACAGCCAACCAAUAAAUUUAUAUAAAUGAGGUGUAAAAGAGCAACGAGUAGACGGUAGUUGGUUUUUAGCUAAAAUAGCUAGAAGCUUAAGGUGUACUCUAACGGGCUUUGAAAGAAGUUAUCAAAUCAAAAUCCCUUCUAAACAAUUUUUUAAANNNNNNNNNNNNNNNAGAUUUUAUUCUAUGAGUGGAAUUCCAUUAAAUCCAAAAUUUUUCACUGGAUUUACUGAAGCUGAAGGAAGUUUUACUAUUAUAAUUUAUCCAUACAAUAAACUAAAAACUAAGAUUAGAGUAAUGGCUAAAUUUAAAAUAGGAUUGAAUGUUAAAGAUCUACCUUUAUUAAUAAAAAUUCAGGAAUUUUUUGGAGGCGUAGGUACACUGAGUUCUGAAAAAGAAAGCAAUGCUUGAAUUUAUUCUGUAAGUAGUGUGAAAGACUUGCUAAAUGUUAUAAUUCCUCACUUUAUUAAUUAUCCACUGUACACACAAAAAAGAGCUGAUUUCAAAUUAUUUGUACAAAUACUUCAAUUAAUGAAAAAAGAUGCUCAUCUUAAUCAUGUUGGUUUACAAGAGAUAGUUAAUAUUAAAGCCUCUAUGAAUAAAGGUAAAUCUGAUUUUGUUAAAUCUCAGUUUCCUCAAAUUAAUCCAGUAAAAAGAUAAACAUUGAAAUAACAAAGAUCUCAGAUCCAAAUUGGAUUUCAGGUUUUGUUAGUGGUGAUGGUAAUUUUGAUGCAGGGAUUAGAAAAGCAACUAAUACUAGAAAAGAAAGAGUUUAUUUAAGAUUUAGAAUAACUCAACAUGAAAGAGAUCUAAAAUUAAUGGAAUUAAUAAUUAAGUAUUUAGGAGCAGGAAGAAUUGAAUGUGAUAAGAGAAAAGAACAUUCAGUUGUAAAUAUAGUAAUAGGAAACUUUUCAGAUAUAAAUAACAAAAUUAUUCCUUUCUUUACUCAGUAUCCUAUUUUUGGUGUAAAAUAUUUAGAUUAUUUAGAUUGGUGUAAAAUUGCUAAUUUAAUGAUUCUAGGUAAAGAUAAACAAGAAGGAUUUAAAGAAAUAAAGGCAAUAGAAGCUGGAAUGAAUAAAGGAAGAUAAAAAAUUAAAAAAUUGUAUGAUAAAUUUGAGGGACCGUGGGUGCCAGAAGACUCGGUAAGGCCAGAGACGCAAACGUUAGUCGUCCUAAUCAGGCGUAAAGGGUAUGUAGGCUGUUUUAAAAGUUUUAUAUUAAUAGCUAAUGUAUUAAAAAUUUUAUUUAUUUUAAAUAAUAAAUAUUUUAUACAUAAAAAUAUAAGAUGAAUUAAAGCUAGGAUCAAAUGGAGGAUAAGUCAAAUAAUACCUAGUGUAGGGUUUAAAUCUGUUGAUAUUAGGUAGAGUACUAACGGUGAAAGCUUUUUAUCUAUAAAUGAUUGACGCUGAGAAACGAAGGUGAGAAUAGGAAAUAGGAUUAGAUACCCAGAUACCUCUCACAGUCAACGAUGAAUGGUGGUUGUUAGUUAGUUUUAUUUAACUGAUAACGAUGUUAACACGAUAACCAUUCCGCCUUGCGAGUACGGUUGCAAAACUGAAACCAAAAAAAU
This 1846-nucleotide ribosomal RNA is filed under the name Inocephalus sp. MCA1475. RNAcentral's name for it is "partial 12S ribosomal RNA". The stretch from base 1280 to 1846 matches the Rfam family "Bacterial small subunit ribosomal RNA", at positions 1 to 909 of the family's 1533-position model. Lineage: Eukaryota; Fungi; Basidiomycota; Agaricomycetes; Agaricales; Entolomataceae. The record is from RNAcentral.